RNAcentral lists this ribosomal RNA (435 nucleotides) under uncultured bacterium. RNAcentral describes it as "partial 16S ribosomal RNA". It matches the Rfam family "Bacterial small subunit ribosomal RNA", at positions 29 to 507 of the family's 1533-position model. The record is from RNAcentral.
AGCGCAAGCUUUCUUCAUUCUUAACACAUGCAAGUCGAGCGGGCACUUUCGGGUGUCAGCGGCGGACGGGUGAGUAACGCGUGGGAACGUGCCCUCUGGUUCGGAAUAACUCAGGGAAACUUGAGCUAAUACCGGAUACGCCCUUUUGGGGAAAGGCUUGCUGCCGGAGGAUCGGCCCGCGUCUGAUUAGCUAGUUGGUGAGGUAACGGCUCACCAAGGCGACGAUCAGUAGCUGGUCUGAGAGGAUGAUCAGCCACACUGGGACUGAGACACGGCCCAGACUCCUACGGGAGGCAGCAGUGGGGAAUAUUGGACAAUGGGCGCAAGCCUGAUCCAGCCAUGCCGCGUGAGUGAUGAAGGCCUUAGGGUUGUAAAGCUCUUUUAUCCGGGACGAUAAUGACGGUACCGGAGGAAUAAGCCCCGGCUAACUUCGUG